AUCAGGGUUCGAUUCCGGAGAGGGAGCCUGAGAAAUAGCUACCACAUCCAAGGAAGGCAGCAUGCGCGCAAAUUACCCACUCCCGAAACGGGGAGGUAGUGACGAUAAAUAACGAUGCGGGACUCAAUCGAGGCCCCGUAAUUGGAAUGAGUACACUUUAAAUCCUUUAACGAGGAUCAAUUGGAGGGCAAGUCUGGUGCCAGCAGCCGCGGUAAUUCCAGCUCCAAUAGCGUAUAUUAAAGUUGUUGCAGUUAAAAAGCUCGUAGUUGGAUCUCAGGAUUUGGAUGGAUGGUUCGCUUUCGGGCGCUACUAUCUGUCUGACCUACUCUAGUCGUGGAUGCCUUGGGUGCUCUUAAUUGAGUGCUUUUGGUGCCCGUCGCAAUUACUUUGAAAAAAUUAGAGUGCUCAAAGCAGGCGUAUUGCCUGAAUAGUGUUGCAUGGAAUAAUGAAAUAGGAGUUUACUUCUAUUUUGUUGGUUUUCGGAGGUGAACUAAUGAUUAACAGGGACAGACGGGGGCAUUUGUAUGGAGGGGUUAGAGGUGAAAUUCUUGGAUCCUCUCCAGACAAACUACUGCGAAAGCAUUUGCCAGGAAUGUUUUCACUAAUCAAGAACGAAAGUCAGAGGUUCGAAGACGAUCAGAUACCGUCCUAGUUCUGACCAUGAAUGAUGCCAUCUAACAAUCCACGAAGUUUGCUUGUACGAACUCGUGGGCGGUCCCCGGGAAACCAAAGAUUUUGGGUUCCGGGGGAAGUAUGGUUGCAAAGCUGAAACUUAAAGGAAUUGACGGAAGGGCACCACCAGGAGUGGAGCCUGCGGCUUAAUUUGACCCAACACGGGAAACCUCACCCGGCCCGGACACUUUUAGGAUUGACAGAUUGAAGGCUCUUUCUUGAUCAAGUGGUUGGUGGUGCAUGGCCGUUCUUAGUUGGUGGAGCGAUUUGUCUGGUUAAUUCCGAUAACGAACGAGACUCUACUCUGCUAAAUAGAACGAUGAUAUAUAAAAGUCAGUGCUGACUUCUUAGAGAGACUAACGGCGUUUAGCCGCGUGAGAAAGAGCAAUAACAGGUCUGUGAUGCCCUUAGAUGUCCGGGGCCGCACGCGCGCUACACUGACUGCAGCAACUAGUAUGCUCCUGGUUUGAAAAAACUGGGUAACCUGGUUGAAUUGCAGGCGUGACAGGGAUCAGAGUUUGCAAUUAUCCUCUGUGAACGAGGAAUUCCCAGUAAGCGCAAGUCAUUAGCUUGUGCUGAUUACGUCCCUGCCCUUUGUACACACCGCCCGUCGCUACUACCGAUUGAAUGGUUUAGUGAGGUCUUCGGAUUGGUGCUGAUGGAGUGGUUCUCUGCUCUGUUAGUGCCGAGAAGAUGAUCAAACUUGAUCAUUUAGAGGAAGUAAAAGUCGUAACAAGGUU
This 1412-nucleotide ribosomal RNA is filed under the name metagenome. RNAcentral describes it as "SSU rRNA". It matches the Rfam family "Eukaryotic small subunit ribosomal RNA", at positions 369 to 1801 of the family's 1831-position model. The record is from RNAcentral.